RNAcentral lists this ribosomal RNA (552 nucleotides) under uncultured bacterium. RNAcentral's name for it is "bacterial SSU rRNA". It matches the Rfam family "Bacterial small subunit ribosomal RNA", at positions 737 to 1366 of the family's 1533-position model. The record is from RNAcentral.
UAACUGACGCUGAGGAGCGAAAGGUGGGGAGCGAACAGGAUUAGAUACCCUGGUAGUCCACGCCGUAAACGUUGGGCGCUAGAUGUGGGGCCGUGUCGCAGCUAACGAUUAAGCGCCCCGCCUGGGGAGUACGGCCGCAAGGCUAAAACUCAAAGGAAUUGACGGGGGCCCGCACAAGCGGCGGAGCAUGCGGAUUAAUUCGAUGCAACGCGAAGAACCUUACCAAGGCUUGACAUACAGGUGGUGCAUGGUUGUCGUCAGCUCGUGUCGUGAGAUGUUGGGUUAAAUCCCGCAACGAGCGCAACCCUCGUUCUAUGUUGCAACUCAUAGGAGACUGCCGGGGUCAACUCGGAGGAAGGUGGGGAUGACGUCAAAUCAUCAUGCCCCUUAUGUCUUGGGCUUCACGCAUGCUACAAUGGCCGGUACAAAGGGCUGCAAUACCGUAAGGUGGAGCGAAUCCCAAAAAGCCGGUCUCAGUUCGGAUUGAGGUCUGCAACUCGACCUCAUGAAGUCGGAGUCGCUAGUAAUCGCAGAUCAGCACGCUGCGGUGAA